UACGGGGGGGGCAAGCGUUGUUCGGAAUUACUGGGCGUAAAGCGCACGUAGGCGGCUAUUCAAGUCGGGGGUGAAAGCCCGGGGCUCAACCCCGGAACUGCCCUCGAAACUAGAUAGCUAGAAUCUUGGAGAGGCGAGUGGAAUUCCGAGUGUAGAGGUGAAAUUCGUAGAUAUUCGGAAGAACACCAGUGGCGAAGGCGACUCGCUGGACAAGUAUUGACGCUGAGGUGCGAAAGCGUGGGGAGCAAACAGG
Molecule: ribosomal RNA, 253 nt
Filed under: uncultured bacterium
Lineage: Bacteria
Description: partial 16S ribosomal RNA
Rfam family: Bacterial small subunit ribosomal RNA
Source: RNAcentral